Long non-coding RNA from Cyprinus carpio carpio, 1188 nucleotides. Lineage: Eukaryota; Metazoa; Chordata; Actinopteri; Cypriniformes; Cyprinidae. The record is from Ensembl.
AUGGGAUUGUCGCUUGUGACUGUCACAAAACUGAAAUCUGCGAGAUUGAGUGCCCACACUCUCACCAAGAUGAAGCCAAUCUGCGCAUGUGUGCAGGGGAAAAUGGUUUCUGCCUCAUCAAUGAUGGGGAUAAUGUUAAACUGGACUGAAGUCAUGACUACUACUACCAAGUUCAGGCACAGCUUCAUUGUAGAUGCUGAGUACUGUGACUUUGUUGUGUGGAACUGUAAUAACAUUUUUGUGGAAAGGAUUUUGCCUGAUUUUGAACUUUGGGAUGAUGUGAUUUCUAAAGUUGAGUGCUUUUUUAGAAACUGUAUACUUCCAGAAAUACUGGGACAGCAAGUUACAAACUUACAUGUAUAAAAUAUGAUGAAACGUUAUGUACUUAGUUCCAGGCACUCUUGAAAAUGGGCUGUGUGAUGCAUUGUCGUUAUAUCAAUACUGUUGUAUGAGACAUGACAUUUUGAAUAUUGUUAUGAUUAAAUGCUAUUGAGAAUACAGAAUAAUACAUGGUGGUUUAUUUACAAGAUUAGAUUUUUCAACAGUUGUUAUAAUAACUACAAGAACAUGGUGUGGAGUGUUAAAUCUAGGUUCCAAUGUAAUAGUAUGUACAUUGUCUUUUUUACAUUUUGAGGUUAAGAUGAUGACAUUCUGAGAUGAUCAAGUCAAGCAGCCCAGGUUUCUGAGGCAUUGACCUUUUGUUUGCUCUUCCUGACCAUCUGGCUUCUUAAGCUCAAGGCACAGCUGUGCCUUUGUUUCUAUGAUAACGUGAAUGUAUGGGAGAUACUAUCAGGCUGAUCCCUGUAUUGCAUUUGCAUGCUUUGUUUAGGUUGUCUCAACCUCUGUGUAUCCCGUCCCCUUGUAGCGCUAAGCAGAGCAUUCUCAAUAAAGAAUUCUGCUGAAGAUUACCCAAGAGUCUCCUGGUCUUCGCUUCUGGGUUUCCAACAGUUUUGGUGCCGUGACCGGGAUAGAGCUUCUCACCUGAAUCCAGAUUGAAACUUCAAGCUCAACAAAGAUCUGACUUCGUUCCAGACUGAAUCUUUCAGUACAACCAAGGGUUGGUGAGUGUAACUCUAUCCAAAAGAACCUUUAAGACCAGUAUCCUCUGCACCGCCAGAGAAGAGUUAACAGACAGCUGCAGGGUUUGGUUAACUAAGUUACCCUCUAAAAAAAUAUUUUAGAGAUGAA